AGGGUUUGAUCCUGGCUCAGAACGUACGCUGGCGGCACGCCUAACACAUGCAAGUCGAACGAAGUAGCAAUACUUAGUGGCAGACGGGUGAGUAACAUGUAGGUAUCUGCCCUUUGGCCUGGAAUAACACGAGGAAACUUGUGCUAAUACUGGAUAAGUCUUUACGGAGAAAGCUUUAUGCACCAUUGGAUGAGCCUGCACUUGAUUAGUUUGUUGGUAGGGUAAUGGCCUACCAAGACUGUGAUCAAUAGCUGAUUUGAGAGGAUGAUCAGCCACAUUGGGACUGAGACACGGCCCAAACUCCUACGGGAGGCAGCAGUGGGGAAUCUUGCACAAUGGAGGAAACUCUGAUGCAGCGAUGCCGCGUGAGUGAAGAAGGCCUUUGGGUUGUAAAGCUCUUUCGUCGGGGAAGAAAAUGACUGUACCCGAAUAAGAAGGUCCGGCUAACUUCGUGCCAGCAGCCGCGGUAAUACGAAGGGACCUAGCGUAGUUCGGAAUUACUGGGCUUAAAGAGUUCGUAGGUGGUUGAAAAAGUUGGUGGUGAAAUCCCAGAGCUUAACUCUGGAACUGCCAUCAAAACUUUUCAGCUAGAGUAUGAUAGAGGAAAGCAGAAUUUCUAGUGUAGAGGUGAAAUUCGUAGAUAUUAGAAAGAAUACCAAUUGCGAAGGCAGCUUUCUGGAUCAUUACUGACACUGAGGAACGAAAGCAUGGGUAGCGAAGAGGAUUAGAUACCCUCGUAGUCCAUGCCGUAAACGAUGUGUGUUAGACGUUGGAAAUUUAUUUUCAGUGUCGCAGCGAAAGCGAUAAACACACCGCCUGGGGAGUACGACCGCAAGGUUAAAACUCAAAUGAAUUGACGGGGACCCGCACAAGUAGUGGAGCAUGUGGUUUAAUUCGAAGAUACGCGCAGAACCUUACCAACACUUGACAUGUUCGUCGCGACUUUAAGAGAUUAAAGUUUUCGGUUCGGCCGGACGAAACACAGGUGCUGCAUGGCUGUCGUCAGCUCGUGUCGUGAGAUGUUGGGUUAAGUCCCGCAACGAGCGCAACCCUCACUUUUAGUUGCCAUCAUUUAGUUGGGCACUCUGAAAGAACUGCCAGUGAUAAGCUGGAGGAAGGUGGGGAUGACGUCAAGUCCUCAUGGCCCUUACGUGUUGGGCUACACACGUGCUACAAUGGUAUCUACAACAGGAAGCAAGACUGCGAGGUCAAGCAAAUCCUUAAAAGAUACCUCAGUUCGGAUUGCACUCUGCAACUCGAGUGCAUGAAGCUGGAAUUACUAGUAAUCGUGGAUCAGCGUGCCACGGUGAAUGCGUUCCCGGGUCUUGUACACACCGCCCGUCACACCAUGGGAGUUGGUUCUACCUUAAGGCAAGGUUUAAAACCCUUGACCACGGUAUAGUCAGCGACUGGGGUGAAGUCGUAACAAGGUAGCCGUA
This 1439-nucleotide ribosomal RNA is filed under the name uncultured bacterium. RNAcentral's name for it is "bacterial SSU rRNA". It matches the Rfam family "Bacterial small subunit ribosomal RNA". The record is from RNAcentral.